This 434-nucleotide ribosomal RNA is filed under the name uncultured Blautia sp. Its description in RNAcentral is "partial 16S ribosomal RNA". It matches the Rfam family "Bacterial small subunit ribosomal RNA", at positions 341 to 792 of the family's 1533-position model. The record is from RNAcentral. Lineage: Bacteria; Bacillati; Bacillota; Clostridia; Lachnospirales; Lachnospiraceae.
ACGGGAGGCAGCAGUGGGGAAUAUUGCACAAUGGGGGAAACCCUGAUGCAGCGACGCCGCGUGAGUGAAGAAGUAUUUCGGUAUGUAAGGCUCUAUCAGCAGGGAAGAAAAUGACGGUACCUGACUAAGAAGCCCCGGCUAACUACGUGCCAGCAGCCGCGGUAAUACGUAGGGGGCAAGCGUUAUCCGGAUUUACUGGGUGUAAAGGGAGCGUAGACGGCGAGACAAGUCUGAUGUGAAAGGUGGGGGCUCAACCCCCAAACUGCAUUGGAAACUGCCUGGCUGGAGUGCCGGAGAGGUAAGCGGAAUUCCUAGUGUAGCGGUGAAAUGCGUAGAUAUUAGGAGGAACACCAGUGGCGAAGGCGGCUUACUGGACGGUAACUGACGUUGAGGCUCGAAAGCGUGGGGAGCAAACAGGAUUAGAUACCCUGGUA